GGACCUGACUGCUAUCGGAUUGAUACUAAGCCAUGCGAGUCAUUGUAGCAAUACAAGGCAUACGGCUCAGUAACGCGUAGCCAACCUAACCUAUGGACGGGAAUAACCUCGGGAAACUGAGAAUAAUGCCCGAUAGAACAUUAUGCCUGGAAUGGUUUAUGUUCCAAAUGAUUUAUCGCCGUAGGAUGGGACUGCGGCCUAUCAGUUUGUUGGUGAGGUAAUGGCCCACCAAGACUAUUACAGGUACGGGCUCUGAGAGGAGUAGCCCGGAGAUGGGUACUGAGACACGGACCCAGGCCCUAUGGGGCGCAGCAGGCGAGAAAACUUUGCAAUGUGCGAAAGCACGACAAGGUUAAUCCGAGUGGUUUCUGCUAAAGAAACCUUUUGUCAGUCCUAGAAACACUGAUGAAUAAGGGGUGGGCAAGUUCUGGUGU
This 434-nucleotide ribosomal RNA is filed under the name uncultured archaeon. Its description in RNAcentral is "bacterial SSU rRNA". It matches the Rfam family "Archaeal small subunit ribosomal RNA", at positions 19 to 458 of the family's 1478-position model. The record is from RNAcentral.